Molecule: ribosomal RNA, 375 nt
Filed under: uncultured organism
Description: partial 16S ribosomal RNA
Rfam family: Bacterial small subunit ribosomal RNA
Source: RNAcentral
GUAGGUGGCAAGCGUUGUCCGGGAAUUAUUGGGGCGUAAAGCGCGCGCAGGCGGUUCUUUAAGUCUGAUGUGAAAGCCCACGGGCUCAACCGUGGAGGGUCAUUGGAAACUGGAGAACUUGAGUACAGAGGAGGAAAGCGGAAUUCCACGUGUAGCGGUGAAAUGCGUAGAGAUGUGGAGGAACACCAGUGGCGAAGGCGGCUUUCUGGUCUGUAACUGACGCUGAGGCGCGAAAGCGUGGGGAGCAAACAGGAUUAGAUACCCUGGUAGUCCACGCCGUAAACGAUGAGUGCUAAGUGUUAGGGGGUUUCCGCCCCUUAGUGCUGCAGCUAACGCAUUAAGCACUCCGCCUGAGGAGUACGGCCGCAAAGGCUG